Molecule: long non-coding RNA, 1156 nt
Filed under: Sus scrofa (pig)
Lineage: Eukaryota; Metazoa; Chordata; Mammalia; Artiodactyla; Suidae
Description: lncRNA (ENSSSCG00025049162.1)
Source: RNAcentral
UUUUUUUUUUUUUCCUUUUUUAGGUAGUAGGUAAACUACUAAUUAUAGCACAAACUCUGAAAGUAUUCAAUGUCCAGACUGAAGUGUAUAUAUCAGCUGAAUAACUAACAACUCAAUCUGGGGAUCAGAGAGUCUCAUAGUUGUUGGUUUAUGAAUCUAGGCAUAGUCAUGAGGAAGGUAGAUGAGUCAGCUGGGCUCCUGUUUUGGAGGUGGAGGCCAGGAAUGGAGAGGAACAGUCUAUAGCUUAAGAGAACCAAAAACAAACAAACCAAAAACCACUGGCUGAGCAGAAAUCAAAAAUAGCUUUUUUGUCUCACUUCCUCUAUCUGCAUUGCAUUCUUUGAACUUCAGUUUCCUCAUCUGAAAAAUGAGAGUCUAGGCUUACUGCAGAGAGCCACUGGGAGCCUCAAGUGGGAUAAACUAUCUGCAAUAGUUUAUAAUCUUUGAAGUGUACGGACGACAUAAGGUGAAACUUGUAUUCAUUGGCAGACAACGCUCUAUGAUAAAUCAGGAAAUUAAACUAAAGGAGUCCAGAAGCAGGACUUCUAGUGACUAAAGCUAAAGUUACUCCUAGAAUUGAGAAAUUCUGGAGAGUUCCCGUUGUGGUACAGAGGAAAUGAAUCCGACUGGGAACCAUGAGGUUGUGGGUUUGAUCCUUGGCCUCGCUCAGUGGGUUAAGGAUCUGGCGUGUCAGUGAGCUGUGGUGUAGGUGGCAGACAUGGCUUGGAUCUCAAGUUGCUGUGGCUAUGGCAUAGGCCGGCGGCUACAGCUCCAAUUCAACCCCUAGCCUGAGAACCUCCAUAUGCCACAUGUGCAGCCCUAAAAAGAAAAAGAAAAAAAAAAAAAUUCCAAAGAACUAUCAGAAACUUACGCCACUGUUUAUUAACUAAUUUGAAAAAAAAAUAAGAUAUGUGUUAUGCAUUGUGUCUUUAUGUAACUGUUAGCCAAAUUUUUUAUUUGCAUUACUGUAUUCAAGAUGCUAUAACCUAACUUCUAAUAAAUGAGACUCAGGGUGGCUGGCUUGAAAUGGCACACAACAGUAUUAAACAUAGUUCGGCAGCCAACUUCUUCAUCACAAAAUAUGUUGCCAAACUUAACACUAACUUACUUUUACUCAUUUAACUUCCACACAUGGGAAGGUUAAAAAAAAAAAAAA